UACGUAGGGUGCAAGCGUUAAUCGGAAUUACUGGGCGUAAAGCGUGCGCAGGCGGCUAUGCAAGACAGAUGUGAAAUCCCCGGGCUCAACCUGGGAACUGCAUUUGUGACUGCAUAGCUAGAGUACGGUAGAGGGGGAUGGAAUUCCGCGUGUAGCAGUGAAAUGCGUAGAUAUGCGGGAGGAACAGCCGAUGGCGAAGGCAGCUCGCUGGGACG
This 215-nucleotide ribosomal RNA is filed under the name uncultured bacterium. RNAcentral describes it as "partial 16S ribosomal RNA". It matches the Rfam family "Bacterial small subunit ribosomal RNA", at positions 524 to 736 of the family's 1533-position model. The record is from RNAcentral.